RNAcentral lists this ribosomal RNA (194 nucleotides) under Listeria monocytogenes. RNAcentral describes it as "partial 16S ribosomal RNA". It matches the Rfam family "Bacterial small subunit ribosomal RNA", at positions 1 to 189 of the family's 1533-position model. The record is from RNAcentral. Lineage: Bacteria; Bacillati; Bacillota; Bacilli; Caryophanales; Listeriaceae.
UUUAAAGAGAGUUUGAUCCUGGCUCAGGACGAACGCUGGCGGCGUGCCUAAUACAUGCAAGUCGAACGAACGGAGGAAGAGCUUGCUCUUCCAAAGUUAGUGGCGGACGGGUGAGUAACACGUGGGCAACCUGCCUGUAAGUUGGGGAUAACUCCGGGAAACCGGGGCUAAUACCGAAUGAUAAAGUGUGGCGC